This 74-nucleotide transfer RNA is filed under the name Alicyclobacillus sacchari. RNAcentral's name for it is "tRNA-Val". The record is from RNAcentral. Lineage: Bacteria; Bacillati; Bacillota; Bacilli; Caryophanales; Alicyclobacillaceae.
GGGCGGUUAGCUCAGGGGAGAGCACUCGCUUCACACGCGAGGGGUCGGCAGUUCGAUCCUGCCACCGCCCACCA